RNAcentral lists this ribosomal RNA (399 nucleotides) under uncultured bacterium. RNAcentral describes it as "bacterial SSU rRNA". It matches the Rfam family "Bacterial small subunit ribosomal RNA", at positions 356 to 772 of the family's 1533-position model. The record is from RNAcentral.
GGGGAAUAUUGGACAAUGGGCGAAAGCCUGAUCCAGCAAUGCCGCGUGUGUGAAGAAGGUCUUCGGAUUGUAAAGCACUUUCGGCGGGGACGAUGAUGACGGUACCCGCAGAAGAAGCCCCGGCUAACUUCGUGCCAGCAGCCGCGGUAAUACGAAGGGGGCUAGCGUUGCUCGGAAUGACUGGGCGUAAAGGGCGCGUAGGCGGCGGCCAAAGUCAGGCGUGAAAUUCCUGGGCUCAACCUGGGGGCUGCGCUUGAUACUUGGUUGCUUGAGUGGGGAAGAGGGUCGUGGAAUUCCCAGUGUAGAGGUGAAAUUCGUAGAUAUUGGGAAGAACACCGGUGGCGAAGGCGGCGACCUGGUCCUUGACUGACGCUGAGGCGCGAAAGCGUGGGGAGCAAA